AAUAUUUCAGAGAUGGAAUUGGAGAUGGAGAGCUUAAUACUUGUCUGAAUUACGAAAUUCCACAAUUUGAAAUGGUGUGUGGAAAUGGCAUCAAAAUUUCAUUUGUUGUAGUCCAAAAACGGAUCAGCACUCGCAUAUUUUCGGGGAGUGGCAUUCAACUUGAAAACCCAUUACCAGGAACUGUCAUUGACCAACAUAUAACAAAAUCAAAAAUGUACGAUUUUUUUUUGGUUUCACAAUUUGUACGACAGGGUACUGUAACCCCAACUCAUUAUGUUGUUUUACGAGAUGACUGCAAUUAUGGACCGGAUAUAAUUCAAAAGUUAAGUUAUAAACUUUGUUUCUUAUAUUACAAUUGGGCUGGUACAUUACGAAUUCCAGCUUGUUGUAUGUACGCUCACAAAUUGGCUUAUUUGAUUGGACAAAGUAUUCAAAGAGAUGUGGCUGGAGCACUUUUGGAAAAGCUGUUUUAUCUUUAAGUUAUAAAAUGAAAACAUGUUUCAAACAAUACAUAGAAUACCAUUAAAAAAAAAAUAAAUAAAU
Drosophila santomea is the source of this 543-nucleotide long non-coding RNA. RefSeq lists it as uncharacterized. NCBI's taxonomy places the organism in Eukaryota, Metazoa, Arthropoda, Insecta, Diptera, Drosophilidae. The record is from RefSeq and is a predicted model, not a curated record. The transcript is spliced from 3 exons.